GAUGAACGCUGGCGGCGUGCCUAAUACAUGCAAGUCGAGCGAACAGACGAGGCGCUUGCUCCUCUGACGUUAGCGGCGGACGGGUGAGUAACACGUGGAUAACCUCCCUAUAAGACUGGGAUCACUUCGGGACACCGGCGCUAAUACCGGAUAAUAUCUUGCACCGCAUGGUUCAAUAGUGAAAUACGGCUUUUCUGUCACUUAUAGCUGGAUCUGCGCCGCAUUAGCUAGUUGGUAAGGUAACGGCUUAUCAAGGCAACGAUGCGUAGCCGAGCUGCGAGGGGGAUCGGCCACACUGGAGCGGAGACACGGUCCAGAGUCCUACGGGAGGCAGCAGUAGGGAAUCUUCCGCAAUGGGCGGAAGCCUUACGGAGCAACGCCGAGUGAGUGAUGAAGGUGUUCGGAGCGGAAAACUCUGUUAUUAGGGAAGAACAAAUUUGGAAGGAACUAAACCCGUCUUGACGGUACCGAAUCAGAAAGCCACGGCUAACUACGUG
This 497-nucleotide ribosomal RNA is filed under the name uncultured bacterium. RNAcentral's name for it is "partial 16S ribosomal RNA". It matches the Rfam family "Bacterial small subunit ribosomal RNA", at positions 28 to 507 of the family's 1533-position model. The record is from RNAcentral.